UUCACAUAUUGGAUUAAAAUAUAACUACAAAAUAAAUGAAGUAAUCAAGUUAAUCGCAAAGAAGUGGAAAAAAUCUAUUUUGACUUACUGCACUUUAUAACUUUCACAUAAUACAUUAUGAUUCCAAAUCAGAAUUUUAAUAUGCCAUAGUGAAAUAUACUUUCACUUACAAUUUGGAAGAUCCUCUAUGUUAAAAUGAUAUUCAUACCAAUAUUUCCAAUUGAAUUUCAAAAUACCAAUAUUUUGGUAACAGUGAAAAAUAAAUUAACGCUUCACAUAUCGGAUUAAAAUAUGACUACAAAAUAAAUUAAGUAAUCAAGUUAAUUGCAAAGGAGUG
This 337-nucleotide long non-coding RNA is filed under the name Acyrthosiphon pisum (pea aphid). Its description in RNAcentral is "uncharacterized LOC107885639". The record is from RNAcentral. Lineage: Eukaryota; Metazoa; Arthropoda; Insecta; Hemiptera; Aphididae.